Molecule: small nucleolar RNA, 72 nt
Organism: Manis javanica (Malayan pangolin)
Lineage: Eukaryota; Metazoa; Chordata; Mammalia; Pholidota; Manidae
Product: small nucleolar RNA SNORD113/SNORD114 family
Source: RefSeq, a predicted model, not a curated record
UGGAUUGAUGAUGACUACUGGUGGCAUAUGAGUCAUUUAUGAUGCACACAUGUCUGGAACUCUGAGGUCAAA